This is a transfer RNA of 83 nucleotides. It matches the Rfam family "tRNA". From Rfam's summary of the family: Transfer RNA (tRNA) molecules are approximately 80 nucleotides in length. Their secondary structure includes four short double-helical elements and three loops (D, anti-codon, and T loops). Further hydrogen bonds mediate the characteristic L-shaped molecular structure. tRNAs have two regions of fundamental functional importance: the anti-codon, which is responsible for specific mRNA codon recognition, and the 3' end, to which the tRNAs corresponding amino acid is attached (by aminoacyl-tRNA synthetases). tRNAs cope with the degeneracy of the genetic code in two manners: having more than one tRNA (with a specific anti-codon) for a particular amino acid; and 'wobble' base-pairing, i.e. permitting non-standard base-pairing at the 3rd anti-codon position. The record is from Rfam.
GGCCUCGUGGCCUAAUGGCUAAGGCAUCGGUUUCCGGCUGCGGAGACUACCGGAGAUUCCAGGUUCGAGUCCUGGCGGGGUCG